UAAUAAGUGUUUUAUUAUGGCACUUUUUAAAUCCAUAUCCACCUUGUGUGCAAUGUCAGUCGAUCUUCUUCAUGGAGAUCGACCAAACAUCGACCCUUUAUCUUUUAAACUCUUUGUCCGUAAAAAUAUUAUGAAUAAAACAAUUCAAAAUAC
Molecule: unclassified non-coding RNA, 153 nt
Filed under: soil metagenome
Description: partial internal transcribed spacer 1
Source: RNAcentral